UAAUUUGUUAGGUGAGGCUCCUACACGGAUACACGCUGCUGCCCGGAAACAUCGAGAGAUGCCAAUGGGUCAACAGGUUUUAUCGAAGUAAGGUAUAACUUAAUGCAGCUGAAUUUAAUAUUCAAAGCUGUGUAGUGCUAAAACUCAACGAAG
RNAcentral lists this small RNA (153 nucleotides) under Clostridium polynesiense. RNAcentral's name for it is "M-box riboswitch (ykoK leader)". It matches the Rfam family "M-box riboswitch aptamer (ykoK leader)", at positions 11 to 159 of the family's 169-position model. From Rfam's summary of the family: M-box riboswitch, also know as ykoK leader is described as a metaloregulatory RNA that sense divalent metals and function as a genetic control element of genes related to divalent metal transport in bacteria. It was first reported upstream of the B.subtilis ykoK gene and genes with related functions in other bacteria. Lineage: Bacteria; Bacillati; Bacillota; Clostridia; Eubacteriales; Clostridiaceae. The record is from RNAcentral.